Molecule: ribosomal RNA, 373 nt
Filed under: uncultured bacterium
Lineage: Bacteria
Description: bacterial SSU rRNA
Rfam family: Bacterial small subunit ribosomal RNA
Source: RNAcentral
GUAGGAGGCGAGCGUUAUCCGGAUUCACUGGGCGUAAAGCGCGUGCAGGUGGCUUGGUAAGUUAGGCGUGAAAUCUCCCGGCUCAACUGGGAGAGGUCGUCUAAUACUACCGGGCUAGAGAGCAGAAGAGGAAGAUGGAAUUCCCGGUGUAGUGGUGAAAUGCGUAGAUAUCGGGAGGAACACCAGUGGCGAAGGCGAUCUUCUGGUCUGUUUCUGACACUCAGACGCGACAGCUAGGGUAGUAAACGGGAUUAGAGACCCCGGUAAUCCUAGCCGUAAACGAUGUGAACUUGGCGUUGGUGGGUUAAACUCCAUCAGUGCCGCAGCAAACGCGAUAAGUUCACCGCCUGGGGACUACGGCCGCAAGGUUAAA